Molecule: ribosomal RNA, 434 nt
Filed under: uncultured bacterium
Lineage: Bacteria
Description: bacterial SSU rRNA
Rfam family: Bacterial small subunit ribosomal RNA
Source: RNAcentral
GGGCAGCGAGCGAGAUAGCAAUAUCUUGUGUCGGCGACCGGCGCACUGGUGAGUAACACGUAUGCAACCUGCCCUCUACAGGGGGAUAAUCCGGAGAAAUUCGGUCUAAUAUCCCAUAGUCCCUGAGCUUGCAUGAGCUUAGGGGGAAAGUUCCGGCGGUAGAGGAUGGGCAUGCGGCGCAUUAGCUGGUUGGCGGGGUAACGGCCCACCAAGGCGACGAUGCGUAGGGGUUCUGAGAGGAAGGUCCCCCACACUGGUACUGAGACACGGACCAGACUCCUACGGGAGGCAGCAGUGAGGAAUAUUGGUCAAUGGGCGCGAGCCUGAACCAGCCAAGUCGCGUGAGGGACGACGGUCCUACGGAUUGUAAACCUCUUUAGGCGGGGAGUAAUGUGCUCUACGAGUAGAGUAGUGAGAGUACCCGCAGAAUAAGC